This 930-nucleotide ribosomal RNA is filed under the name Amanita rubescens. RNAcentral describes it as "partial large subunit ribosomal RNA". It matches the Rfam family "Eukaryotic large subunit ribosomal RNA", at positions 37 to 953 of the family's 3401-position model. Lineage: Eukaryota; Fungi; Basidiomycota; Agaricomycetes; Agaricales; Amanitaceae. The record is from RNAcentral.
AGCAUAUCAAUAAGCGGAGGAAAAGAAACUAACAAGGAUUCCCUUAGUAACUGCGAGUGAAGAGGGAAAAGCUCAAAUUUAAAAUCUGGCAGUGUUUCACUGUCCGAGUUGUAACCUAGAGAAGUGUAACCUGCGCUGGACCGUGUAUAAGUCUCCUGGAAUGGAGCAUCACAGAGGGUGAGAAUCCCGUCUUUGACAUGGACCACCAGCGCAUUGUGGUUGUGCUCUCAACGAGUCGAGUUGUUUGGGAAUGCAGCUCUAAAUGGGUGGUAAAUUCCAUCUAAAGCUAAAUAUUGGCGAGAGACCGAUAGCGAACAAGUACCGUGAGGGAAAGAUGAAAAGAACUUUGGAAAGAGAGUUAAACAGUAUGUGAAAUUGUUGAAAGGGAAACGUUUGAAGUCAGUCGCGUUGGUUGGGGAUCAGCCUGACAUUGUUGGGUUUACUUCCUGGUCGACGGGCCAACAUCAGUUUUGACUGCCAGAAAAAGGCCAAAGGAAUGUGGCACCUUUGGGUGUGUUAUAGCCCUUGGUCGUAUAUGGUGGUUGGGACUGAGGAAAGCAGCGUGCCGAAAGGCCGGGUUUCGACCACGUUCACGCUGAGGAUGUUGGCAUAAUGGCUUUAAGCGACCCGUCUUGAAACACGGACCAAGGAGUCUAACAUGCAUGCGAGUGUUUGGGUGGAAAACCCUUACGCGUAAUGAAAGUGAAAGUUGAGAUCCCUGUCGCGGGGNAGCAUCGACGCCCGGACCAGAACUUUUGGGACGGAUCUGCGGUAGAGCACGUAUGUUGGGACCCGAAAGAUGGUGAACUAUGCCUGAAUAGGGUGAAGCCAGAGGAAACUCUGGUGGAGGCUCGUAGCGAUUCUGACGUGCAAAUCGAUCGUCAAAUUUGGGUAUAGGGGCGAAAGACUAAUCGAACCAUCUAGUAGCUG